GAUGAACGCUGGCGGCGUGCUUAACACAUGCAAGUCGAACGAUGAAGCCCAGCUUGCUGGGUGGAUUAGUGGCGAACGGGUGAGUAACACGUGAGUAACCUGCCCUUAACUCUGGGAUAAGCCUGGGAAACUGGGUCUAAUACCGGAUAGGAGCGUCCACCGCAUGGUGGGUGUUGGAAAGAUUUAUCGGUUUUGGAUGGACUCGCGGCCUAUCAGCUUGUUGGUGAGGUAAUGGCUCACCAAGGCGACGACGGGUAGCCGGCCUGAGAGGGUGACCGGCCACACUGGGACGGAGACACGGCCCAGACUCCUACGGGAGGCAGCAGUGGGGAAUAUUGCACAAUGGGCGCAAGCCUGAUGCAGCGACGCCGCGUGAGGAUGACGGCCUUCGGGUUGUAAACCUCUUUCAGUAGGGAAGAAGCGAAAGUGACGGUACCUGCAGAAGAAGCACCGGCUAACUACGUG
This 465-nucleotide ribosomal RNA is filed under the name uncultured bacterium. RNAcentral describes it as "partial 16S ribosomal RNA". It matches the Rfam family "Bacterial small subunit ribosomal RNA", at positions 28 to 507 of the family's 1533-position model. The record is from RNAcentral.